Long non-coding RNA from Paramacrobiotus metropolitanus, 1858 nucleotides. RefSeq lists it as uncharacterized. Lineage: Eukaryota; Metazoa; Tardigrada; Eutardigrada; Parachela; Macrobiotidae. The record is from RefSeq and is a predicted model, not a curated record. The transcript is spliced from 3 exons.
AAUACAAACGUUAUAGACAAGUAGCCCAAUACUUCGCAGUAUGUUAAUUGCUUUUUCGGGCCCUACGUGCUGGGAGGAAUACAUUAAUUUAAAGUGGUGCACAAUUGCCAUAAUCAUUCUGGAACGCACGUGUAAGUAUUAUAACAGGCGAUCGACAAAAUCAUUCUGACCGUGAAAUAACUCCGUUUCAAAAUUAAUCGGCAUCAACCGAUCAUGGUUAGUUGGCGAGAAGUGCUUCUAUCUGAAGCGUUUCAGCGCACGCAUUAUUACCUGGUAUUCUGCUUCUCCAUACUGAACAUCACACUAGGGCCAUUAUCGUCCACUGCCUACAUAUCUGGCUUCUGAUCAAUCAACCCCCGAAGCAGCCACUGCGAAAACUGCGUAUUGAUCUCGCCACGGUAACGGCCGAAGUCAGGCUUUUCCACGGAUACCGGUUUUGUAUGGUCAUAAGCACCGGCUUGGUACUGGGUGCCGUUAUCAUGGGAAGCCUCACAGGGAUCAUGAUACUGGUUUAUGCCGGCAGUAGUGUUCUGGGUCUACAUAUUUUCACUUUGGUUAUGGUGUAUAUUGCGUAGAUCCAUGGAUCGAUGCCAACGUGGAUGACCUACUGUCUCAGUUGUCGACGACGUAAUUCAUGCCUUAUUCCGACUGUUCCCGUUGUUGGCCAAACGCGGAGAGAUAUGGCAGCUUCCGAUGUACUAGUCAGCGUACCAACUGGGUAUGGUGUGAUACAGGACAUUGACUCGUUUCCAGAGCAUCACGUCGAACAGCUAGCUCACGCCUUACGAGCUUAAGCAACAAAAAUUUUGGUAUGGUGUCAAGCAAAACCAGUUCAACGAAAAAGAAAAAUCUUCAGUGAAUAAUAUUCUGCUUUCUUUACAUUGCAUACAUUACGGCGCCCUUUUCUGCGCUGCAAGCAGAUUAAAAAAGCAACCAAAUUUAAUUCUUAUGCCAUCGUAUUUUUAUACUCCUGUGUUACCAUAUUUUUAUUUUUGCCACUUGUAAGAUAUGCAUUACCUGUCUGAAUAAAAAUCGCGUGCUAGAGAAAAGUUGCCGAGUAAGUUCGUCAGUUAAGUUAGUGACCGUUGCUGAAGAGAAAAAGAGAAUUCCGUGAAAAAAAAAUCCAUUUUUUCCUGCUUUCCUUUGUAUCCAUUCCAUUUCAAGCUAAGCAAAUGGCUGCUCAGUGCAGCGACGAUAUCAUUCUCUGCGAUGAUGAUUUUUUAAUUUUAUUUACCAAGGUCGAAGCAGAUAACGGUAUUUGUAUUACUUUCACAGCUCAGGGUUCACGCUAAACGCAGUUGUGCGAUAAUAAUACCAUUCUAUCGCAACGAUCGUCAGGGAUCUGCAUUACGGAAAUUUUCUAGCAGUACCACAUUUUUAACGGGUAUAAUUUCUCAAAGCGCUUGCAGUCACUCAAUCAUGGUCAGCUGGCGGAAAGUUAACCUCUCCGAAGAGUUCCGGGACACCUAUUAUUAUCUGGCAUUCUUCCUCUCCAUAAUGAUUCGGACCAUCAGCGUCCGUUGCCAGUUAUUUUUUGUUUCGCUAAACAAACCUUCAGUAACGUCACAAUGCAGCCGGUGGACACAGCACGCAGGUGCAAAAGAGGCCGGCAAGAUGGCGGCUACCAACAGCAUUAUCAUUACUAACAUCAUGAUGUAUAACAGCAGCAUCAUCGUCACAAACAAUUACGGACUAAUUGAGAGUUACGAUAUGCUGAAGAGCUGAAGCGCACUCUGCACGAUUGUCGCGCCGUUCUUUGCACGAUAACGGCCGAAGUGAGGUUCCUCUUGAGAUACCGGUUUCUUACGGUCUUACGGUAAUCAGCAUCGGCCUUGUCCUGGGUGCAGUUAUCACGAGA